AGACUGGCUGCCCCCGAGGGUUCGCGUGAGCGGAGCACGGGGCUCGGGGUGCGGGGGGCUGGUGUGAUGGACGCAUUUGUUCUUCGGUCCCUGACGAUUGUUUCUCAUUUGCCCUCCAAGCCCCAAAUCCUGUCAGUCCACGGCCUUGAUGGAGCGGCCCCCGUGGGACGACCCUGUUGAUUGUGCUAGCGGAUGUUGUCUCCAUUCUGGAUCUGGGAAAAACUGUGGAGUGAAAGCCGGACCUGUUAGGGUUGGGACCUGAAAGCGGACUUUUUCGCUCUCAGACGGGCCCCAGGUACAGUGAGAGGGGAGUUUGUGUGGUGGUUGUGAGCUUGAGCUUUGGAGAGAGAGAUCUGUGACCUUGGGCAGGUGACCUCUCCGAGCCUCGGUUUCCUCGCCGUAAAAUGAAGAUCCUAAUAGUCCCUACCAGAAGGUUGUGAAUGAGACAAUAGAUGGAAGCCCUUUGCGCGGCCCCUGCACCCGUAAACGCUCAAUCUUAGUUCUUACUCUUGUUGUUUUAAGUGUGCAGGCAAGAUAGACACAGAUACAUAAAAACUGUUUAAGACCACUUCUCUUUUUUUUCUUUCUUUCUUUUUUUUUUUUUUUUUUUUUUUUUGAGACGGAGUCUCGAUCUGUCGCCCAGGCUGGAGUGCAGUGGCGCGAACUAGGCUCACCGCAAGCUCCGCCUCCCGGCUUCACGCUAUUCUCCUGCCUCAGCCUCCCGAGUAGCUGGGACUACAGGCGCCCGCCACCACGCCCCGCUAAUUUUUUUGUAUUUUUAGUAGAGACGGGGUUUCACCGUGUUAGCCAGGAUGGUCUCGAUCUCCUGACCUCGUGAUCCGCCCGCCUCGGCCUCCCAAAGUACUGGCGUGAGCCACCGCGCCGGGCCCCCACUUCUCAACUGAUGACUGCGACACUCCCUUGAGGACGGGAGCUCUUUCAGGCCAGUGGUUUGUUGUUCAUCAAGAUAUCCAAGUACCCGGCAACAUUCCUGGCAUAUAAUAGGAAGGCAGAUCUGGUGAAUGAAUGAAUGAAUGGCGGUAUCUGGAGCAGAGACAAUGAAUUUCAUGUUUAACAGAGGUGUCUUCAAGGAGAUGAAACAAUUCAGAAUGACCUAGGCAAUGGGGUAAUUCCUAAGGUAAGUUACUAUAAAUGUGUAGUAGUUUGCUUCAUCAAAAUGACCAUGUGAUCUCUAAGAACCUUUGCAGUUGUAAAAUUCGAUUUUUAUUGUGCCCCUAAUUUUAGUGGCAUUAUAUGGUGAUUGUGUUCAUUUUUCUGACAUA
This 1283-nucleotide long non-coding RNA is filed under the name Homo sapiens (human). RNAcentral describes it as "non-protein coding lnc-STN1-2:4". Lineage: Eukaryota; Metazoa; Chordata; Mammalia; Primates; Hominidae. The record is from RNAcentral.